AGUGAACGCUGGCGGUAGGCCUAACACAUGCAAGUCGAACGGCAGCACAGUAAGAGCUUGCUCUUACGGGUGGCGAGUGGCGGACGGGUGCGGAAUACAUCGGAAUUUACUUUUUCGUGGGGGAUAACGUAGGGAAACUUACGCUAAUACCGCAUACGACCUACGGGUGAAAGCAGGGGAUCUUCGGACCUUGCGCGAUUGAAUGAGCCGAUGUCGGAUUAGCUAGUUGGCGGGGUAAAGGCCCACCAAGGCGACGAUCCGUAGCUGGUCUGAGAGGAUGAUCAGCCACACUGGAACUGAGACACAGUCCAGACUCCUACGGGAGGCAGCAGUGGGGAAUAUUGGACAAUGGGCGCAAGCCUGAUCCAGCCAUACCGCGUGAGUGAAGAAGGCCUUCGGGUUGUAAAGACCUUUUGUUGGGAGAGAAAAGCAGCAGGUUAAUACCCCGCGGUUCUGACGGUACCCAAAGAAUAAGCACCGGCUAACUUCGUG
This 492-nucleotide ribosomal RNA is filed under the name uncultured bacterium. RNAcentral describes it as "partial 16S ribosomal RNA". It matches the Rfam family "Bacterial small subunit ribosomal RNA", at positions 29 to 507 of the family's 1533-position model. The record is from RNAcentral.